RNAcentral lists this ribosomal RNA (497 nucleotides) under uncultured bacterium. RNAcentral describes it as "partial 16S ribosomal RNA". It matches the Rfam family "Bacterial small subunit ribosomal RNA", at positions 28 to 507 of the family's 1533-position model. The record is from RNAcentral.
GAUGAACGCUGGCGGCGUGCCUAAUACAUGCAAGUCGAGCGAACAGACGAGGAGCUUGCUCCUUCGACGUUAGCGGCGGACGGGUGAGUAACACGUAGGUAACCUACCUAUAAGACUGGGAUAACUUCGGGAAACCGGAGCUAAUACCGGAUAAUAUUUCGAACCGCAUGGUUCGAUAGUGAAAGAUGGCUUUGCUAUCACUUAUAGAUGGACCUGCGCCGUAUUAGCUAGUUGGUAAGGAAACGGCUUACCAAGGCAACGAUACGUAGCCGACCUGAGAGGGUGAUCGGCCACACUGGAACUGAGACACGGUCCAGACUCCUACGGGAGGCAGCAGUAGGGAAUCUUCCGCAAUGGGCGAAAGCCUGACGGAGCAACGCCGCGUGAGUGAUGAAGGUCUUCGGAUCGUAAAACUCUGUUAUUAGGGAAGAACAAACGUGUAAGUAACUGUGCACGUCUUGACGGUACCUAAUCAGAAAGCCACGGCUAACUACGUG